Molecule: long non-coding RNA, 1476 nt
Organism: Eriocheir sinensis (Chinese mitten crab)
Lineage: Eukaryota; Metazoa; Arthropoda; Malacostraca; Decapoda; Varunidae
Exons: 2
Source: RefSeq, a predicted model, not a curated record
AACGGCAGGGGAGGGUGAGGAAGGCAAGGGCGGCAGGGUGUAUACUGUAUAAGUGAGCCAUGGACAGCAGGGGAGGGUGAGAACUGAGGAAGGCAAGGGCGGCAGGGUGAGUUAGAGAGGCAGGGUGUGUAAGUUAGGCAGGAACAGCAGGGAAGGGUGAGGAAGGCAAAGUGAGUGAGCCAGGCAGGGUAUGUGAGGCAUGGGCGGCAGGGUGAGUGAGCCAGGCAGGGAUUACCAAGCUUUGUGGCGGGCAAACGUGGCGCAGACUCUGGAAAGCUGGCGAAAAAGUGAUGGAAAAUUGAGGGGCGGGAGGCGAGUGAGGGAGGGAAAGGAGUUUGGAAUUCUGACAUGAACGGUCUGCAGCAGGGACGUGAGGUGAAGGUUACUGCAGGCGGUGUAGGUCGUGACGGCGGACAGGUAGACAGGCGAAGCAGUGAAUAAUUAGAUGAGAAGACGAACAGACAGAGACGCAGAUAAAAAUGACAGAAAUGAAUAGGGAAACAGACACACACUCUUCGACAAAUUAACAGGUAGAUAGGUAGACACGUAGACAAUCAUACAGACAAAUACACAGGUAAAUAAACAGAUAAGUAAGCAAUUAGACAAGAAUGCAGGUAGAUACACAGGUAAAGAGGUAGAGAAUCACACAGACAGACAGACAGGUAGAUAAUAGGUAGAACAGGUGUCUCAGUAAUGAAGAAAAAGGUAAAGGUAAGAAAAGAAAGAAAAAAGAAAGAAGCAGUUUAACAUGUACUUCUAAGUGUGGAGGAGACGAACAAGGAAGGGAGGGAGGAAAAGAGUGAGAGGAAGGAGAGAGGCACUUUAAGGCUAGGAGAGAAAAGAAAGGAAGGAAGGAAGAAAGAAGCCAUUUAACAUGUACUUCUAAGAGUGGAGGAGACGAACAAGGAAGGGAGGGAGGAAAGGAAAGAGAGAAGGGAUGAGGGACGGCCGGUUAUCUCAAUAGUGGAAAAAAAAGUAAAGAAAGAAAAGAACAAAAAUAGAAAGGAAGGAAGGAAGAAAGAAGCCAUUUAACAUGUACUUCUAAGAGUGGAGGAGACGAACAAGGAAGGGAGGGAGGAAAGGAGCGAGAGGAAGGAGAGGGGGUUGGGAGAGGGCCACCGUAAGGCUAUCUCAGGUGGAGUCAACUCAUUACCUGCCAGAGCUGAUGCCAAGAGUGACCUGUCCCGUCCCGCGCCGCCACGCCCUCCUCCUUACCUGCCUGCUUGACAACUUGCUCACCUGUGUUACCUGCUGAGAGAGAGAGAGAGAGAGAGAGAGAGAGAGAGAGAGAGAGAGAGAGAGAGAGAGAGAGAGAGAGAGAGAGAGAGAGAGAGAGAGAGAGAGAGAGGAACAAGCAGAAAUGGAGGAGAGAAUGAGAAAGAUAAAAAGGAACAAGUAGUAAUGGAGAGAGAGAGAGAGAGAGAGAGAGAGAGAGAGAGAGAGAGAGAGAGAGAGAGAGAGAGAGAGAGAGAGAGA